AGUGAACGCUGGCGGUAGGCCUAACACAUGCAAGUCGAACGGCAGCACAGUAAGAGCUUGCUCUUACGGGUGGCGAGUGGCGGACGGGUGAGGAAUACAUCGGAAUCUACUUUUUCGUGGGGGAUAACGUAGGGAAACUUACGCUAAUACCGCAUACGACCUACGGGUGAAAGCAGUGGAUCUUCGGACCUUGCGCGAUUGAAUGAGCCGAUGUCGGAUUAGCUAGUUGGCGGGGUAAAGGCCUACCAAGGCGACGAUCCGUAGCUGGUCUGAGAGGAUGAUCAGCCACACUGGAACUGAGACACGGUCCAGACUCCUACGGGAGGCAGCAGUGGGGAAUAUUGGACAAUGGGCGCAAGCCUGAUCCAGCCAUACCGCGUGGGUGAAGAAGGCCUUCGGGUUGUAAAGCCCUUUUGUUGGGAAAGAAAAGCAGCAGGUUAAUACCCCGCUGUUCUGACGGUACCCAAAGAAAAAGCACCGGCUAACUUCGUG
This 492-nucleotide ribosomal RNA is filed under the name uncultured bacterium. Its description in RNAcentral is "partial 16S ribosomal RNA". It matches the Rfam family "Bacterial small subunit ribosomal RNA", at positions 29 to 507 of the family's 1533-position model. The record is from RNAcentral.